CCCUUAGAUGUCCUGGGCCGCACGCGCGCUACAAUGACUCACUCAGAAAGUUUUUCCUGAUCCGGAAGGAUUCGGGUAAUCUUCAUAGCAUGAGUCGUGUUAGGGAUCGAUCUUUGCAAUUAUAGAUCUUGAACGAGGAAUGCCUAGUAAGUGCAGCUCAUCAGGCUGUACUGAUUACGUCCCGGCCCUUUGUACACACCGCCCGUCGCUCCUACCGAUUGAGUGGUCCGGUGAACCUUCUGGAUUAAGCAGCAAUGCUUGAGAAGUUAGGUAAACCUUAUCACUUAGAGGAAGGAGAAGUCGUAACA
This 308-nucleotide ribosomal RNA is filed under the name uncultured eukaryote. RNAcentral describes it as "partial 18S ribosomal RNA". It matches the Rfam family "Eukaryotic small subunit ribosomal RNA", at positions 1470 to 1796 of the family's 1831-position model. The record is from RNAcentral.